CUAACAAUUCCUCUGUGUAACCCCUAACAUUCUUCUGCUCCAUGCUCCACUGCAGUGCAACCCCUGAUAUUCUUCUGUCUCAAUCCUUCUUCUAUAAGAACCCUCUCAUACAACCCCUUCUUCUGAUCUUCUUUCUCUUUCUUUUCUUAAUCAAUUUAUAAACUGUUAUCAGAAUAGUGUCAAGUCUGUUGAUAUUGCUGUUGGAACAGAUUGUACAAACUGUGCAGAUGGUACAAAUGGUUUAAUCUGCAACAUCAGUAACAUCUGCUUAAUUGAUGGCAUGUCUGUUAUAUUAUGAAUCAAUUCAUCUGUGUUGGCCUGAGUGCCCUGUGUUUAUGAUUGUAUCUAGAUGCCCAAGUUAAAGUUUAAGAAUAAGUUACCCAAGUUCUAUGAAGCUGC
Molecule: small RNA, 399 nt
Filed under: Histoplasma capsulatum
Lineage: Eukaryota; Fungi; Ascomycota; Eurotiomycetes; Onygenales; Ajellomycetaceae
Also listed under: 1 other name
Description: hypothetical RNA
Source: RNAcentral